GAGCGCUAGUUGGGUGUCCGGAGACUCGG
Molecule: small RNA, 29 nt
Filed under: Bombyx mori (domestic silkworm)
Lineage: Eukaryota; Metazoa; Arthropoda; Insecta; Lepidoptera; Bombycidae
Description: ovarian small RNA-15829
Source: RNAcentral